ACUUAAUACGUUCUAGCUGUGCUUUGUUGCUCAGUCUCAAACAAGACUUAGCGACUAAGCAUUUACGCAAUGUAGUAGAAUGUAGUAGGCACUUGGUAAAUGUUUAUCUGAUGAAUGAAAACUUUCUGUUGCCACCAAGUUUACCCUGGGAUGAUCUUGGUCCUAUGGCUGCCUGAGGUCUUCUCAGUACAGAAAACUCUCUGAGAGGUCGCAAGAAAGGAUAUCACCUGGGCAAUUGGAGGUUUGGCCCUCAUCUGUAUAGAUUCAGAAAACCGAGUGGUCAGUGCAUUUUCACCAUUCAGAGGCUCUUUUUCUCAAAAAGUAUGUAUUGAGGGCUUUCUCUGAGCCUGGCAUUCUGCUGGGUGCUGAGAAUAAAGGAGCUUCAUGAGCACAGCCCCUGCCUUCACUUCAUUUACCACUUGGCUGGGGGGGUGGGGGUGUCCAUUCAAAAAGCCCUAAAAGGAAACAACUCAAGGGAGUUCCCUGGUGGUCUAGUGGUUAGUUAUGAUUCUAGGCUUUCACUGCUGGGGCUCAGGUUCAAUUCCUGGCAGGGGAACGGAGACAAGCCAAAACACAAAACAAGACAAAAACCAAGCCCCUUGUACUGGAGAGUAGAACUGGCCUGGUAUGGGAAGUACAGUGUGCUAGAGUUGCAAAACAGGAGCACCCAAAAUAUUUUGAGUGCUCAGGGGGCUUCCAAACACACUCCCAGAAGGCACUGUCUCCAGAAUAUGGCUCUCAGGCCUGAUUUACAAAGUCAAAAUGUCCCUUUAUUAAUAAUGAGCAAUGGGAGCAUCUCACUGAAUGCAAAUGUACACUGUGGACAGAGAAAGUUGCCUGCCAUUUCAGUAAACAAAGGAUAUUGAGACCAUAAAACUAACAGGCACCACUGUCACCCCAAGGGUGGGCCCUGAAUGGAUUCAGGAUGGGGAAAAAUAGGAUAGUGCCCCUAGAUAAAGUGUAUAUCAAAGGAAUGAUUUCAAUGGGCCCAGACUCUUGCAUCUUCCCAUACUAAAAUCAUUAACUUGAGAUGUGUGUUUUUGUGAUUAGCAGUAAUCUUUUGAUGUUCUGAUGGUUGACUACAUAUUUUUUUCUCAGCAAAGAACUUCCUAUAUAUUCUGGCUCCUCCCUUACCUCUUUUUUUUUGCCCCACUGAGUGGCUUGUAGGAUCUUAGUUCCCUUAGAUCCCGUUGUUCUCCAAGCAGAGAUUGAACCUGUGCCCCCUGCAGUGGAAGCACGGAGUCCCAACCACUGGCCCACCAGGUAACUCCCCUGCCCCCUUACCUUUUUGGAGCAGUCUCUGAGAACUAAGAGACUGCAUCCCGGGCUCAAGUCCUCAGUGAGUUUGCCAAAUAAAACAUAAUUUGGGGGAGUUCUCUGGCCGCCUAAUGGUUAGGAUUCUUCACUUUCACUGACAGGACUGGGGUUUGGUCCCUGGUUGGGGAACUGAGAUGCCACAAUUAGGUUUGCCUUUGUCUUCUCAGUCAACUACACACGUCUCCAUUCUGUCUCUCUCUGGAGUCAGAUUCACACAGGAAGACAGAUUCUAAUGGGAAGGUUAUUUGGUGAACAAGAAAUCAAAACAAUUCUCCCUGUUAAGAGGCAUUAGAUUUGAAUGUUGGGGCUUCUAUCCUCACACGAGGGACAGCCUUGGAAAUGGAGCCAUUAGUUUUGAACUUCUCUUUUUUGACCAAGAUCCUCUCUUUCCCGUUGAAUGGGCUUUGCCAACGUGGCCUCACUGACUCCCCUUUUCUAGGUUUCCACUCUUCUGAUGAGGUACAGCACUUCUUGAGAUUUGUCAGUACCUUUGUCUAUAUUAUAGAGUAUGACGAGGUCUGCUAAUUUACUGCCAGCAAGACAGUGUAGUAGUAGUAGCUUGUGUGUGUGUGUUGUGUAAAACUAAGAGCUAGCAAUGACCCCACUCAGGAUGUCACACACCAGGGGUAGUUGGCUAUAUUAAUCGGGGAGUCUGUAUCAUAGCUUCUAGCUACUGCAAAUGUUUCUGUUAGCCAUAGCUCAAUCAACAGCAGAGACUUUGCUAAGUAGUGAAAUGAAGGUUAGAAAUGGAUUUUCACUGGUGAAAUUAGUAACGUGUUAGCCAGUAUGAUGGGUGUUAGUAAUGGGU
Molecule: long non-coding RNA, 2125 nt
Organism: Bos taurus (domestic cattle)
Lineage: Eukaryota; Metazoa; Chordata; Mammalia; Artiodactyla; Bovidae
Source: Ensembl